RNAcentral lists this ribosomal RNA (514 nucleotides) under uncultured bacterium. Its description in RNAcentral is "bacterial SSU rRNA". It matches the Rfam family "Bacterial small subunit ribosomal RNA", at positions 56 to 518 of the family's 1533-position model. The record is from RNAcentral.
UGCAAGUCGAACGGGAUGGCCCACAGAUACCCUGGAAGUUAGAGUGCUGCACAAAGAGUGGAAGAGGGUUGACGUGGAAUUCCAUCCAGUGGCAAACGGGUGAGUAACACGUGGGUUACCUACCUCUAAGACGGGGACAACAGUUGGAAGCGAUUGCUAAUACCGGAUGUGUUCUACGGAAUAAAGGGAGCCCUUAAAGCUCCGCUUAGAGAUGGGCCUGCGGUGCAUUAGAUAGUUGGUGAGGUAAUGGCUCACCAAGUCGACGAUGCAUAGCCGAACUGAGAGGUUAAACGGCCACACUGGGACUGAGACACGGCCCAGACUCCUACGGGAGACAGCAGUUAGGAAUAUUCGUCAAUGGGGGGAACCCUGAACGAGCAAUGCCGCGUGGAGGAAGAAAGGUCCUAUGGAUUGUAAACUUCUGUUGUAUGGAAAGAACGGUAUAUAUAGGAAAUGAUAUAUAAUUGACGGUACCAUAUAAGAAAGCCACGGCUAACUACGUGCCAGCCGCCGC